RNAcentral lists this ribosomal RNA (253 nucleotides) under uncultured bacterium. RNAcentral's name for it is "partial 16S ribosomal RNA". It matches the Rfam family "Bacterial small subunit ribosomal RNA", at positions 524 to 776 of the family's 1533-position model. The record is from RNAcentral.
UACAGAGGGGGCAAGCGUUAUUCGGAAUUAUUGGGCGUAAAGGGCGCGUAGGCGGCCUUGCAAGUGGCGGGUGAAAUCCCUCGGCUUAACCGAGGAACUGCCUGCCAGACUGCAAGGCUCGAGACCGGGAGAGGUGAGUGGAAUUCCCAGUGUAGCGGUGAAAUGCGUAGAUAUUGGGAGGAACACCAGUGGCGAAGGCGGCUCACUGGACCGGAACUGACGCUGAGGCGCGAAAGCCAGGGGAGCAAACGGG